RNAcentral lists this ribosomal RNA (416 nucleotides) under uncultured eukaryote. RNAcentral describes it as "SSU rRNA". It matches the Rfam family "Eukaryotic small subunit ribosomal RNA", at positions 592 to 1013 of the family's 1831-position model. The record is from RNAcentral.
CGACAGUGUAUGCUAAAGUUGUUGCGGUUGAAAGCUCGUAGUUGGAUCUUGGGUGGGUGCCGCCGGUCCGUCGCAAGGCGUGUUACUGGCGGCGCUCGCCUCGGUUUCGGUUCUCCGUCGGUGCUCUUGACUGAGUGUCGGCGGUGGCCGAUAAGUUUACUUUGAAAAAUUAGAGUGUUCAAAGCAGGCUGCUCGCCUGCAUAGUGUUGCAUGGAAUAAUGGAAUAGGACCUCGGUUCUAUUUUGUUGGUUUUCGGAGCACGAGGUAAUGAUUAAGAGGGACAGACGGGGGCGUCCGUACUCUGCCGUUAGAGGUGAAAUUCUUGGAUCGGCGGAAGACGAACUACUGCGAAAGCAUUCGCCAAGAAUGUUUUCUUUAAUCAAGAGCGAAAGUCAGAGGUUCGAAGAUGAUCAGAU